UAAGGGUCUCACCCCAUUCACUACCCCGUGAUUUCUUUACUCACCAAUACUUGAUACUAUCAUGUGCAACACCAUAACCAACCACAAUAAUAGCAUGUUGGUUAUGUUUCACGUUUGUGAUUGUAUUCCGUGUGAACAAAGGUGACAUGAAAACCACCUUUGAAAUGAAGAAGCUUUGCUAGUUUCAGCAUUGGGUUUAUGUGAGCUUGUGCUGGAAAUGGGGAACAUUCUUUGAGUUUGUCUUCC
Molecule: long non-coding RNA, 246 nt
Filed under: Medicago truncatula (barrel medic)
Lineage: Eukaryota; Viridiplantae; Streptophyta; Magnoliopsida; Fabales; Fabaceae
Description: long non-coding RNA (MTRU_LNC005653)
Source: RNAcentral